GAUGAACGCUGGCGGCGUGCCUAAUACAUGCAAGUCGAGCGAACAGACGAGGAUCUUGCUCCUCUGACGUUAGCGGCGGACGGGUGAGUAAAACGUGGAUAACCUACCUAUAAGACUGGGAUAACUUCGGGAAGCCGGAGCUAAUACCGGAUAAUAUAUUGAACCGCAUGGUUCAAUAGUGAAAGACGGUUUUGCUGUCCCUUAUAGAUGGAUCCGCGCCGCAUUAGCUAGUUGGUAAGGUAACGGCUUACCAAGGCGACGAUGCGUAGCCGACCUGAGAGGGUGAUCGGCCACACUGGAACUGAGACACGGUCCAGACUCCUACGGGAGGCAGCAGUAGGGAAUCUUCCGCAAUGGGCGAAAGCCUGACGGAGCAACGCCGCGUGAGUGAUGAAGGUCUUCGGAUCGUAAAACUCUGUUAUUAGGGAAGAACAAAUGUGUAAGUAACUAUGCACGUCUUGACGGUACCUAAACAGAAAGCCACGGCUAACUACGUG
Molecule: ribosomal RNA, 497 nt
Filed under: uncultured bacterium
Lineage: Bacteria
Description: partial 16S ribosomal RNA
Rfam family: Bacterial small subunit ribosomal RNA
Source: RNAcentral